GUCGACCAAUGUCCACAUUUUUGCAUCAGUUUCGUUCGAACGUUGAACAAGUGCGAUACAAGAAGAGAAUAAGUAACUAUUUUUCAAUAAUUCCUCCAAGCCCUUUUUCUUUACACGUCGACCCGUAUUUCACUUUCAUAAAGAAUUUGACGAAAUGGGAAAUUUAGUUGGAAUCCAGCGAAAGGAGAACAGGAGGAAAAAAAGAAGGAAGCGGAAAAGGAAGAAAGGAAAAGGAAGGAAAGAGAAGAGAAAGAAAAAAAGGAGCGAAUGACAACAGCGCUGAACACUCUCCGGCAGGAGAUGCAAAUCCUGAAAUCUAUCCCGAAUGAAGGGAAAGAAAGAACGAUGGGGAUGAAUUGAUCCACCGAUAUCAGCCACGGUGCAAUCCUUUGGAGAAAUGACUCGGUCGGGCGUGUGUGAAAAUAGUAUUAAAAAUAAAGACGCGGCUGAGUUUUGCUGGGGUGUAAAAUAAUUAGAAAAGACAAAAGUAUAGCGGAACGCGUGAGCGGCGAAGCGUUAUUGCGUAAAUGUCACGAUCGCGAAGAUUUUACGAGAUUCUCGUUACGAAUCAUCUCGGGCAACGUCCAAUUAAAAAUAAUAUUUAAAUGAUAAAAAGUAGGAUUAAAAAAAGUAGAGAUUUGCAAUAAAAAAAGAAAAAACUGCGGACGAGCUCGUUCACGAGAACCUGCACUAUCAUAGAUUUUCCUGAUCUGGAAAGUAAAAAUUCUUCGGAGGCACAAAUAAGAUAAAUAAAUGAGAGAGAUAGAGACAGAGAUUGGCGGCGUAUCGACUGUUGCUUUAGCGAGAAGAUCGAAGAGAUGCGAGAGUCAUGCGUGCCAUAGUGAUCGGGGCGCGAUGAACGAACGCCGUGAUGCAUGAUUCAAGGCAUAGCGCGUCGUCGAGGAGGAGAGAAAGCGGCAGCGAGUUUUGUUAUUGGUUUUGCGCGCCGAGCAUAUAUGCCUCAUCGGGCUUCUACAGAGAUACAUACGGACACGCUGCUGACGCAUCGCGUGGUAAACACGCAACAUAUGCCUUUUGUUAGAACACGUGAAAAAUACAAAUUGUCCAACACAAUGCUCCCUUUCGAAUUUUAUUAUUUCUCGCAG
This is a long non-coding RNA of Venturia canescens, 1106 nucleotides long. RefSeq lists it as uncharacterized. The transcript is spliced from 3 exons. Lineage: Eukaryota; Metazoa; Arthropoda; Insecta; Hymenoptera; Ichneumonidae. The record is from RefSeq and is a predicted model, not a curated record.